UCUGAAUCUGCGUACGGCUCCGCAAACCAGUUGUAAACUAUAGCAAGCAUGCUCGGGAUUUGGCCCUCACGGGUUGGGUUUCGGGUGAUAAGGAUAACCCUGGUAAUUCUGAGGCUAAUACUAGAACGCAAAAACUUGACUGACCGGUUUUACUGGGAGGUUGGGGGGCGUGCAAGUGGGUUUCGCAUAGGAUAACCGGGAAGGGGUGCACGUUUGGACCGCGAUAAAGACAGACUGGUUUCGGCCGGCCUGAGCGGCACUUGCGUUGUGCUUCUGACCUAUCAACUAGAUGGCAGCAGUAACGGACAUG
RNAcentral lists this ribosomal RNA (310 nucleotides) under Diderma alpinum. Its description in RNAcentral is "bacterial SSU rRNA". It matches the Rfam family "Eukaryotic small subunit ribosomal RNA", at positions 80 to 343 of the family's 1831-position model. The record is from RNAcentral. Lineage: Eukaryota; Evosea; Eumycetozoa; Physariida; Didymiaceae.